RNAcentral lists this ribosomal RNA (114 nucleotides) under uncultured bacterium. RNAcentral describes it as "partial 16S ribosomal RNA". It matches the Rfam family "Bacterial small subunit ribosomal RNA", at positions 1360 to 1482 of the family's 1533-position model. The record is from RNAcentral.
CGGUGAAUACGUUCCCGGGCCUUGUACACACCGCCCGUCAAACCAUGGGAGCCUGAGGUACCUGAAGUCCGCAACCGAAAGGAGCGGCCCAAGGUAAAUCCGGUGACUAGGGUU